UCCACGCCCUAAACGAUGUCAACUAGGUGUAUGGAAGUUUAUCUUCUGUGUAUCGAAGCUAACGCGAUAAGUUGACCGCCUGGGGAGUACGGCCGCAAGGCUAAAACUCAAAUGAAUUGACGGGGGCCCGCACAAGCGGUGGAGCAUGUGGUUUAAUUCGAUGCAACGCGAAGAACCUUACCAGGUCUUGACAUGUACGGAAGGUUGAAGAGAUUCGACUGUGCC
RNAcentral lists this ribosomal RNA (225 nucleotides) under uncultured bacterium. RNAcentral's name for it is "partial 16S ribosomal RNA". It matches the Rfam family "Bacterial small subunit ribosomal RNA", at positions 794 to 1018 of the family's 1533-position model. The record is from RNAcentral.